RNAcentral lists this ribosomal RNA (301 nucleotides) under uncultured bacterium. RNAcentral describes it as "partial 16S ribosomal RNA". It matches the Rfam family "Bacterial small subunit ribosomal RNA", at positions 509 to 807 of the family's 1533-position model. The record is from RNAcentral.
CAGCCGCCGCGGUAAUACGUAGGUGGCAAGCGUUGUCCGGAAUUAUUGGGCGUAAAGGGCUCGCAGGCGGUUUCUUAAGUCUGAUGUGAAAGCCCCCGGCUCAACCGGGGAGGGUCAUUGGAAACUGGGAAACUUGAGUGCAGAAGAGGAGAGUGGAAUUCCACGUGUAGCGGUGAAAUGUGUAGAGAUGUGGAGGAACACCAGUGGCGAAGGCGACUCUCUGGUCUGUAACUGACGCUGAGGAGCGAAAGCGUGGGGAGCGAACAGGAUUAGAGACCCGAGUAGUCCCUGUCUCUUAUAC